This 2197-nucleotide long non-coding RNA is filed under the name Salvia miltiorrhiza (redroot sage). RNAcentral's name for it is "long non-coding RNA (SMIL_LNC000781)". The record is from RNAcentral. Lineage: Eukaryota; Viridiplantae; Streptophyta; Magnoliopsida; Lamiales; Lamiaceae.
AGGAUCGCAUAAGUUUAGUUUCGUGACUCUGAUCAUAAUCAAAGAUAGCUUUAUUAAUAGAAAUAUAGGAUAAGAGUUUAAGCCCAAUAAGAUAAUAUUGUACCACAUAAUUGAAAUUCUAAGUUUAGAGAAUUUAACAGACGAAAUGACAAGCUAGUCGUUAGCGGAAGCAAAAGACAUUGUGGUACCCAGCCUCAGCUCAGCCCCGUCUGCACCAGCCGAUCAACCUGAAAAUAUUUGAAAAUAAUUUGGGCUGAGUACUAAUGUACUCAGUGGGCACAAGUUUUCGAAAUAUUUUAUGAAAUAAUCGAAGCAGUUUAUCCAAUAUCACAAUCAUGACUUAGAAGGUUUUAAAACGGAAUCCCACUUCUAAGCAUGACAAAACUUUUCUUCAUUUAGUGGCGCGCCAUGUACGUUCGAUUGUUACUCACUUUCUCCCUACAUUCACUGAUCUCGGGACGCACCCAGUCAGAUCCAAAAUCUGUUAUUGAUCUCGGGACGCACCCGGUCGGAAUCAAUAACCUUAACUGUGCUCCGGAUAACCUCCUGUCAAGCACCGUGCUCCGGAUAACCUCCUGUCAAGCACCCACCCUUAUAACGUUCUAAAUCUGUUAGUGCACGAUGGCGAUCAACCCAUCGAGCCACUAACCCUGUGUACACAAUCCUCAUUUAGCGUGUUAGGCCAAAUGAGAAUCUCGAUCGAUACUUAAGCGAGCCUUAAACAAUUACAGAACGCACAUAAAAACAUUUAUAUUGGAUAAACAGAUAAUUUUCAUGAAAUAUCAGAGCUUAUAUAACUCAAGAUACAUUGUAUGUAAAAUAAAACCCACCUGAAUAGGCAAAGCCUGUAGUUUAAUCGUAAACCUGUCACGGGAAAGCAGUGCUAAUCCUCCUGGUCCUCAAAAGCCUACAAGAAAUCUAUUCUUAAUAGGUCUCUUGGUGCUAUUCUAACUUCUAAAUAAAAAGGGGAAAAUCACUAACUAUUGAUACACUUUACCCGAAUUAAUAAUCUCUUUAAGUGAAUCCGUAAAUUUUUAAUACAUAAUUAUGACUAAUUUAAUAUAAUAUAAUUUAUAAAUUUAUAAAUAAUUAAUAAUUAAAAGAAAAUAUAAAACCUUAAUCUUAUAAGAAAAAUAAUAAAACUAGUUAAGGCACUUCAGACUCAUUUAAAGAAAGAAUUAAAGCCCAAGACAAUACAAUACAAAAGACUUGUUCAAUUUAAAUGAGCCCAAGUAAAUUAAAUGAAUAGAGCCCAUCAGAUAGAAGAAAUCAGCCCAAUCAGAUGAUAAAAAAAAAAAUCAGCCCAAUAAACUAAAUAAAAGUGAGCCCAAAAUAAUAGCUAACAAUUAAAGAAAAUUUGAACUAAAAGAAAACAAAGCUUCUUUUCUCUCUCCUCACACCCACUCUCGGCUCCCCCUCUCCUUCUCUCUCAUUUUCCUCCUUUCUCCCUCAAAACCGCUGCCCCUCUCUCUCUUGGCCGGACGGCCAUCGGCUUCUGCCGCCGCCGCUCCAAGUCCGGCGGAAUCAUCGCCGCACACCACCUCCGGUCUUCCCUCUCUCACCACCUCCCAUCCGUCUCUCUCUCUCUCUCUAAAACCACCACCUCUUCUCUUCUCCCUCCAUAGAUCCGCCGCCGCCUGCUCCAACCCCGGCGAGAAUCGCCAGAUCCGAGGCCUCCCUCACUCAUCGCCUUCCCUCGCGUUUCCGGCAGCGGACGGCCAAGAAGGGCGGCCGCCGCUGCUGCUCCGUUCACGCCGCGAUAGCGGCGCUUGGCCUUCGGCCGUGCCGCCCCAGCCACGCCCACGACGCCGCCUCGCUCCGUCUCCAUCUGUCUUGGCCGUGGGUGGCCGGCGGGCUGCUGCAACGCAUGCAGCGCCGGCAGCCGCGGCCUUGACAGCUCGGCGUCGAGCUCGGACAGCCCGCAUUCGUCUCCCUCUCGUCUCUCACACUCAACAAGGCAACGAAAAGAAAAUCUCAGAUUUGAAAGAUUUGAUUUUUGGGCAGUGUGUUUCUGAAAUUUCUUAAGAGAAAAAAAAAUGCUCUUGUUCUCAGUUCUUGCUUUUAUUCAUUAGGUCCUUCCGUAAAGUCUAGGAUUGAGAGAGAUACAAAUCUGUUACAAGGUAAGUAAAGGGAAAUACAUGGUGUAGUAAAGAUUUGGGAGAUGCUGAACCUUGUACAGGAGCUCUCCUUGUACAUG